GAAUGCUGACAUAAGUAACGAUAAAGCGGGUGAAAAGCCCGCUCGCCGGAAGACCAAGGGUUCCUGUCCAACGUUAAUCGGGGCAGGGUGAGUCGACCCCUAAGGCGAGGCCGAAAGGCGUAGUCGAUGGGAAACGGGUUAAUAUUCCCGUACUUGGUGUUACUGCGAAGGGGGGACGGAGAAGGCUAUGUUGGCCGGGCGACGGUUGUCCCGGUUUAAGCGUGUAGGUGUGUGUUCCAGGUAAAUCCGGUUCACUUUAACACUGAGGCGUGACGACGAGGCACUACGGUGCUGAAGCAACAAAUGCCCUGCUUCCAGGAAAAGCCUCUAAGCAUCAGGUAACAUCAAAUCGUACCCCAAACCGACACAGGUGGUCAGGUAGAGAAUACCAAGGCGCUUGAGAGAACUCGGGUGAAGGAACUAGGCAAAAUGGUGCCGUAACUUCGGGAGAAGGCACGCUGACACGUAGGUGAAGUGAUUUACUCAUGGAGCUGAAGUCAGUCGAAGAUACCAGCUGGCUGCAACUGUUUAUUAAAAACACAGCACUGUGCAAACACGAAAGUGGACGUAUACGGUGUGACGCCUGCCCGGUGCCGGAAGGUUAAUUGAUGGGGUCAGCGCAAGCGAAGCUCCUGAUCGAAGCCCCGGUAAACGGCGGCCGUAACUAUAACGGUCCUAAGGUAGCGAAAUUCCUUGUCGGGUAAGUUCCGACCUGCACGAAUGGCGUAAUGAUGGCCAGGCUGUCUCCACCCGAGACUCAGUGAAAUUGAACUCGCUGUGAAGAUGCAGUGUACCCGCGGCAAGACGGAAAGACCCCGUGAACCUUUACUAUAGCUUGACACUGAACAUUGAGCCUUGAUGUGUAGGAUAGGUGGGAGGCUUUGAAGUGUGGACGCCAGUCUGCAUGGAGCCGACCUUGAAAUACCACCCUUUAAUGUUUGAUGUUCUAACGUGGACCCGUUACCCGGGUUGCGGACAGUGUCUGGUGGGUAGUUUGACUGGGGCGGUCUCCUCCUAAAGAGUAACGGAGGAGCACGAAGGUUGGCUAAUCCUGGUCGGACAUCAGGAGGUUAGUGCAAUGGCAUAAGCCAGCUUGACUGCGAGCGUGACGGCGCGAGCAGGUGCGAAAGCAGGUCAUAGUGAUCCGGUGGUUCUGAAUGGAAGGGCCAUCGCUCAACGGAUAAAAGGUACUCCGGGGAUAACAGGCUGAUACCGCCCAAGAGUUCAUAUCGACGGCGGUGUUUGGCACCUCGAUGUCGGCUCAUCACAUCCUGGGGCUGAAGUAGGUCCCAAGGGUAUGGCUGUUCGCCAUUUAAAGUGGUACGCGAGCUGGGUUUAGAACGUCGUGAGACAGUUCGGUCCCUAUCUGCCGUGGGCGCUGGAGAACUGAGGGGGGCUGCUCCUAGUACGAGAGGACCGGAGUGGACGCAUCACUGGUGUUCGGGUUGUCAUGCCAAUGGCACUGCCCGGUAGCUAAAUGCGGAAGAGAUAAGUGCUGAAAGCAUCUAAGCACGAAACUUGCCCCGAGAUGAGUUCUCCCUGAGACUUAAAGUCUCCUGAAGGAACGUUGAAGACGACGACGUUGAUAGGCCGGG
RNAcentral lists this ribosomal RNA (1595 nucleotides) under Salmonella enterica subsp. enterica serovar Enteritidis. Its description in RNAcentral is "partial 23S ribosomal RNA". It matches the Rfam family "Bacterial large subunit ribosomal RNA", at positions 1292 to 2865 of the family's 2925-position model. The record is from RNAcentral. Lineage: Bacteria; Pseudomonadati; Pseudomonadota; Gammaproteobacteria; Enterobacterales; Enterobacteriaceae.